This 800-nucleotide ribosomal RNA is filed under the name uncultured bacterium. RNAcentral describes it as "bacterial SSU rRNA". It matches the Rfam family "Bacterial small subunit ribosomal RNA", at positions 104 to 901 of the family's 1533-position model. The record is from RNAcentral.
GGGUGAGUAAUGCAUCGGAACGUGCCCAGUCGUGGGGGAUAACGCAGCGAAAGCUGCGCUAGUACCGCAUACGAUCUAUGGAUGAAAGCGGGGGACCGUAAGGCCUCGCGCGAUUGGAGCGGCCGAUGUCAGAUUAGGUAGUUGGUGGGGUAAAGGCUCACCAAGCCAACGAUCUGUAGCUGGUCUGAGAGGACGACCAGCCACACUGGAACUGAGACACGGUCCAGACUCCUACGGGAGGCAGCAGUGGGGAAUUUUGGACAAUGGGCGCAAGCCUGAUCCAGCAAUGCCGCGUGCAGGAAGAAGGCCUUCAGGUUGUAAACUGCUUUUGUACGGAACGAAACGGUCUGAGUUAAUACCUCGGGCUAAUGACGGUACCGUAAGAAUAAGCACCGGCUAACUACGUGCCAGCAGCCGCGGUAAUACGUAGGGUGCAAGCGUUAAUCGGAAUUACUGGGCGUAAAGCGUGCGCAGGCGGUGAUGUAAGACAGUCGUGAAAUCCCCGGGCUCAACCUGGGAAUUGCGAUUGUGACUGCAUCGCCGGAGUGCGGCAGAGGGGGAUGGAAUUCCGCGUGUAGCAGUGAAAUGCGUAGAUAUGCGGAGGAACACCGAUGGCGAAGGCAAUCCCCUGGGCCUGCACUGACGCUCAUGCACGAAAGCGUGGGGAGCAAACAGGAUUAGAUACCCUGGUAGUCCACGCCCUAAACGAUGUCAACUGGUUGUUGGGUCUCUUCUGACUCAGUAACGAAGCUAACGCGUGAAGUUGACCGCCUGGGGAGUACGGCCGCAAGGUUGAAACU